This is a long non-coding RNA of Equus asinus (donkey), 1242 nucleotides long. The record is from Ensembl. NCBI's taxonomy places the organism in Eukaryota, Metazoa, Chordata, Mammalia, Perissodactyla, Equidae.
ACAGUGAUUGGUUCAGGCCUGGUCACGAGACCCUAUCAGCUUUCCCCACGCACGUGCUGAGUUCUGCUGAGGAAUUGCAUCCAUUAAGUACGGUGGCCUUUCUGUAGCCACUGGGCCUUGCGGAUGAGCGCUUGCCACCCACACGCAGGCUUUGUUGGGGUCUCUUGGCCACACGCAAGAGGCAAACCUGCGCUUCGCAUUUGCCAAGGCUCCACAGAGAGCCUAGAAGCAGGCUGGAGUGCAGGGAGAUGACGAGAAGAAACUGUUCUGCUUUGCAGGCGUUGCUGCCCCUGUCUUGCAGAUGUUGCUACCUUGCAGAGAAAUUCACACGUUUGCAGCAAGACCCCUGCAAAAUGUCCCAGCCCCAAGUGUCCUAAAGUUACCUUAAACGUAUUAGCAUCGUAAAUUCUCCUUCUCUGGGAGGGUCCAAGCAGCCAUUUUCAGAUCGUGUGAUGUGUGUAAUAGCACGUGUACCUGCCAUGCAUGCGCCCUAAAGGGACACCGUGGUUUCAAAUGAGCAGCCAGAUUUCCUCUGCUCUCUGUGUAUAAAGCCCCCCACCGGCACUGAGCUCAGGGAACUCUGCUUUGGGAGCCAUCCCUCAUGUUCUCCAUCACUUGUGCAAGCAAUAAACCUGUUCUUCACCUGCUUCUGCCUUGUUCUGCUUCUCGGCUUCGCACUCACCAAGAGACAAACCCACCGACUUCGCUUCCAUCUCCUUGUAUUCGUUUUCUAUUCCUGCCGUAAUGAAUUACUAGUUUAGUGACUUAGAGUGACCACGUACUGUCUCCAGUUCUGUAGGUCAGAUGCCCGCUCACAGCCUGGCCCUGCUCUGCUUGGUCUCUCUCAAGGGGAGGCCAAGGAGUCGGCUGCUGGCUGCUCUCUCGGGGGCUCCGGGUGAAUCGGCUUGCAAGCCCAUUCAGUUGGCAGGUGUGGGACUGAGAUCUUUCUUACUGGAUGUCAUCCUGGGGUCACACUUAGCUUCUAGAGGACCCCCCCAUAUUCCCUGGCCCGUGGCUCCCUUCCAACCCAGCAAUGGAGGCUCAAGUCCCUCUGACUUUCCCUUCUGCCUCGUCGUGUGGAAUCUUCUGCCUCCUUCUACUUUUGAUUAAAUAUCUUUAUUGAUAUAAUCCGUGUAUCAUUCAAUUCACUAGUUUGUAAUUCAGUGUCUUCUAGGAUAUUCAUGGAAUUGUGCAACCACCACCACUGUCUAAUUUUUGAAUAUUUUUACUCUCCUCAAAAAC